Non-coding RNA from Gasterosteus aculeatus aculeatus (three-spined stickleback), 2344 nucleotides. NCBI's taxonomy places the organism in Eukaryota, Metazoa, Chordata, Actinopteri, Perciformes, Gasterosteidae. The record is from RefSeq and is a predicted model, not a curated record.
AUAAAGAUUAGGUCCUCGUAUUCGUAAGUAUUUGGCAAACAAAAGUCAAAAUAUGUAAGGUGGAAAAGAAAGUUUACUGUCGAAAAAUACAGGAAUAAAUUUAUAUCUCUGCUGAAAACGGCAAAGUAGCAUUUAUGAUUAAUGUGAUUCGGGUGCGUUUUCUUUGGGAAGGUUUGACUCAUUUUCAAAGAGACACGUUGUGAUUUUAGACUCUCGUGUUUCGAACGGUUCGUGGCUGCAUUAUAUUUGUUCGUGAUAAGUACAGAAUUGUUGGGUUGGAACUCGGUUCCGGCUCUGUUCUUAAACCUCGGGCGCAAAGUGUUUAAAAUAAAUAAAAAACUGUAUUUAUUAUUUACUUUUAUUCAUCACGACAAGAGAGAGCAAGAAAAGCCCUCGUAAAAUAACAAAAUAAAAGCCUCGAUCCAAAACGUUGAAAAACGUAUGAGAUAUUGGUGGAAAACCAAUAAAACACAAGUGAAAUGUCCACUUGAGGAACGGGGGAAGCAAUGAGGACAUUUAAUUGUCUGUUGGGAUGGAAACCCACUGGUGAACAAACUCAAAGCCAGAAACAAGCAGAGGACAUAAUGAGAAGUGGACCCUUCAGGUCCAGAUCUUUCCUCAGCAGGUAAACUGUCCACAUCAAGACGCUCCAGAAGGUUCUGACAUUUUCCACCCGGGUUGAGGUGAUUUUUUUUCCGUUGGUUGUCCCGUUGACUGAAGGUUCAGGAGACCCUGGACGCGGGUCCAGGCGGUCUGAAGAAGGUCAGGUGGCGCCUCCUCCUCGGCCAUCGAUCGGACCGGAGAUUCUAAAAGGUCGGCUCAGCUGUUAUCGACUGGAAGUGUGCGUCUGAAAAAUCAAAGGGCCAAAUAUCGUGUUUUGUGUCUUUGUCUUUGUCUGAGACGGCUGUUUGUGUAGCGCUCAUCUUGUUGUUGUCCUUUGUUGAGUUCCUUGUGAUUUCACUCGCAGCAAGUCGGAGCUUUCCUUCAGUGAGUCGAGCCAUGCGGGCAUCAAUAGAUACAAAAAUACCAAAUGUCUUAUUGUGAAAGGUGAAAGAGGAAGUAGAUCUGUAUUAGCCGUCCCAGGAAUCGGCAUUUAUUGACUACAUUUCACAAAGUGCGGUGAGUUAUUCCACCACAUCACCACAGUUCUGUCCAGUUUAAGGUGUUUAAACUGAAUCUAACUAAUCAGAGUCAGAUCAGCAGUUAGUUGAAGGUCAAGUUGUUUUCAGAGCCUUCAUCUCACCAGCGGUAACCAGCGACUGAUGGGAGAUAAUCUCACUUCAUCAUCUCAGGAGCCGCAAGGUAAACGUGUAAAUCAGCUGUCUGCUUUUGUUCUGUUGCCACAAAAUACGAUUAUUUACUCAUUAUUUCCAAAAAUGGGGGAAGUGCGGAUUGAGAUGAACAUCCCGAUGGAAGAAGAAGGAGAAGUUCUCCACCGGCGUCGUCGCCCCGACUUCCCGUCUCCUUAUUCAUCGCCAUGGAAACGGACACACCCUUCAUUUAUGGGAUGUUCCACUCCAAAUGGACCCAGCAGCAUCUCCACACCAGGACGUCCUGCUGUGGUGGGAAACGACAGAUGCUGAUUUCAGAAGACGGAUGGAAGAGUUGUCUGCGUUAAUGAAGCUCCGCCCCCUAUAGAUCCUGGACCAGCAUGCAUCAGCCCCAUUGAUCAGGCAGCCACACUGAAGUGUUGUAAAACGCCUCACGACCUCCAGCACCGACUUGCAUGACUGGAUUAUUUCAUAUUUGAAAGGAGUAUUUGUGCGUUUGAGGAGCCUUCAACUUCAAACUGGACUCUCGUGUCCUGAGCUUCCUUUCAGUUCCCCUGUUGCAUGGCAACACGUGUUUCAUUGUGGUCUUUGUGGUCAGAUGGGGCACUUUAUCCAUGUGAAGGAGCCCAGUGGAGAAGGAGCCUGCGGGAUUCAUAGAUGGAUGGAUGACAUCUUACAUUUCACAUCAGCUUCAUCUGCCUCGAAUCCAGCAUCCGCAGCGCCGUCCAUCCUAUAAACAUUAAACACUGAAGUGAAGAACAAAUUGGAGGUUUUUAUACAUUAUUUGAGCAUUUCUUUAUCUGCUAUUUUGUACUUUUACUCCACAACAUGUCAGAAAUAAAUAAUGUUCUUUUUGCUGAAGAGUUUUUGUAGUUUUCUGUUGAUUUAUUUCAGAAAUGUGGUAUAACUGAAAUAUAGCUGACCUGUGGAAUCUUAGUGACGAACUGACGUGUUCCUUUAUGUGUAGAACGUAGUGAUAAACUGAGGUACGAAGUGUUUCUUCUCAUGAUGAUCGUCAUAAUGUCACUUCAUCUUUGUUAAAAGUGUCGGGUUUUUUUCAGCUUUAUCCGUUU